ACAAUGGGCGCAAGCCUGAUGGAGCAACACCGCGUGAGUGAAGAAGGGUUUCGGCUCGUAAAGCUCUGUUGUUAAAGAAGAACACGUAUGAGAGUAACUGUUCAUACGUUGACGGUAUUUAACCAGAAAGUCACGGCUAACUACGUGCCAGCAGCCGCGGUAAUACGUAGGUGGCAAGCGUUAUCCGGAUUUAUUGGGCGUAAAGAGAGUGCAGGCGGUUUUCUAAGUCUGAUGUGAAAGCCUUCGGCUUAACCGGAGAAGUGCAUCGGAAACUGGAUAACUUGAGUGCAGAAGAGGGUAGUGGAACUCCAUGUGUAGCGGUGGAAUGCGUGGAUAUAUGGAAGAACACCAGUGGCGAAGGCGGCUACCUGGUCUGCAACUGACGCUGAGACUCGAAAGCAUGGGUAGCGAACAGGAUUAGAUACCCUGGUAG
This 433-nucleotide ribosomal RNA is filed under the name uncultured bacterium. RNAcentral's name for it is "bacterial SSU rRNA". It matches the Rfam family "Bacterial small subunit ribosomal RNA", at positions 368 to 793 of the family's 1533-position model. The record is from RNAcentral.